This is a non-coding RNA of Gymnodraco acuticeps, 382 nucleotides long. RefSeq annotates it as small Cajal body-specific RNA 2. The transcript has a single exon. NCBI's taxonomy places the organism in Eukaryota, Metazoa, Chordata, Actinopteri, Perciformes, Bathydraconidae. The record is from RefSeq and is a predicted model, not a curated record.
CCUUGCGGCAUUUAGCUUUAAAGGCGACCCGGAUGUUCUUCGCGCUCACAGUUUGAAUGGCGUUUGAAUGGUGCGAGCGUGUUAGACGAGUGUUUGUGUGAGUACAUGUGGUAUGUUUGAGUGUGUGAAUGUGUUCCUCCUAAAUCUACACAGUGAUCUUAUUUGAUCUGGUCUGAGUUUGGCUCUGCUCCGACUGGAAAUGAUAGGAAAAGCGCUCUCGAGCCUCUAUGGCGAUGAGUAGAUGCGAUAUGUUAGCGAGGGCCUCCACGCUUCAAUGUUGUGGUCAGAGGUGAUGAGUUGAUCAGAUAUACUAGUUCUAGUGAGUUUGGGUUCAUCUCAAGCUUCACGACGGACACUGAGUAAAGAAGCGAUUCUGAUCUAA